CUACCCAACACUACAGCUCCAAUCAAAAGAAGAAAUUGAGUCAGCAGUGGAAUAUAUGGAGCGGAAGAUCCAGACAGCGAUUGGCAAGGCUUCCACAACAACAGUGAGGCAAGCCCCACAUAUGUCAGAGAAUGGAGAAGCGAACAGUGGGAAGACAAACUGGAACAAUUCCACCUUCAACAAAAACAACAAUGGGAUCUAACAAAAGCAAUUAGAUGCCUCAAGGAUCCCAAGCGUGUAAUUCGUACCAACCAAGGACUGAAGUUUGACACCCUGGAGAUUGUAGAAUCCUUCACAGAAGCCUAUGAAGUACAAAACACACUCCCGAUCUAUGAUCUAACAGAAGAAGAAAGAUGAGAAGAGCAACAGACGACACAGUUCAUGCAAGGCUACAGUAGCAGACCAGCCAUCACCCAUCCACUCCUUACCAAACCAACAGAGGAUAAAACCAUCAUCAGGAACCGGAAAGCUAAAUCUGCACCUGGCAUGGAUGGCAUAUCAAAUGCCCACCUAAAGGAACUCCCCUGAAAACCCCUGGUGCUAACGACCAGAAUUUUUAACAGCUGCCUGGUCCUCAACUAUUUCCCACAAAAACGGAAGACAGCACAAAUCAUCCCACUCCUAAAACCUGGGAAGGAUCUCAAACUGGCAACUAGUUACCACCCUAUAUGUCUACUAAAGAGAUCCUAGAAAGAGUGGUGCUCAACUGCAUAGAACCAUCCCUGACAGAGGACAGAACAAUUAGGGCGGAACAGUUUGGGUUCCAGAGUAAACUCUGUGGAAAUGCAAGUUAUGCAAGUAAUAGAGCACAUCUCCAGGCACUCCGACGUCUCGGCCUCCACCACUGCGGCAUUCCUCAACUGGGAUAAGGAUACAACUGAGUAUGGUAUGCAAAAUUUAUCAAGAAGCUGGCAGCCCAGACGACAAUACCCGAUUGCUACAUACACCUCAUCGCAGAAUACUUGUCGAAUCAUAACAGUCACAAUUCAAAGGAAAAGAUCAAGCACCAAAUAACUGGCAGCAAGUAUUCCACAAGAGUCAGUGCUAUCGCUGAUACUAUUCAAUGCGUUCAUGAACAAAUUGCCCAGAGCAAACAAUGUGUAACUAGUGCAGUUUGCAGACGACACAACAUUGUUCACAAGUGGAAGACAACACUUUGGAAAAUUUUGUUGACGAUAUUCUGGUCAUUUACAAAGGAACCGCUGACAGUGUUGAUCGUAUCUAUAACCUAUUCAAUGAUCUUCAUGAGAAAAUAUCUUUCACUAUUGAAUUUGAAAAUGAGACCCGGCAAUUAAACUUACUUGACUUGACGCUUACCACAGAAACAAAGUUUCUUUCAAUAUUCUUCAUCAAGUAACAUAUACUGACCAGAUCAUUCCUGCAUCUUCUACUCAUCCACAAGUGCACAAAAAAGCCUUCCUUUAUUCUGCUGUUCACCGAGCCAUUUCCAUCCUUCUUUCUAAAGAAAAGUUCAACGAUGAAAUCAAUUUACUUAAAACAAUAGCAGUUAAUGAGUAUGAACAGAACGUUUGCCAUAUUACUGAGGAAUACCCCUUAAAAAGAUACGCCGGACCUGUCACUGAGGUUAUAUAUGUGAAACCCUAUGCUUUGGAUUGGCUGUGCAAUCUAGAUAUUGAGCUUUAAAUAUAUGAAUGAGUUUCUAGUCACGCUUGCCAUGCUUUUAACGUGUAGUUUUUUGUCUUGAGUGUUUGUACUUUAUUCUAUUGUGCUAUUGCUUGUUCCCCUCCCCCCACAUGUACUAUUUACACAUUGUUUUGUUUUAUACAUUUCAUUUACAUAGUGUUUUACUUAUAUAAAAUAUUGUCAUAUGCGAAAUAAAUAAAUAACCUAACAUAGUAGAUGACGUCCUUAAAAAGAAAACUGCUUAAAGAAUUACUAUGCAAGGCACUUCUGUUAUCAAGUCUCACUCAAGAAAAUAUUUCUCUAUUCCUUUCGUGGGGCCUCUCUCUUAUCAGAUCCAACCCAUUCUUCGAAAGAAAUACGAUUGCAACAUUGCUUUUUCUACUAAUAACAAUUUGGGGAAAAAAACCCACUUCAUAAUUUACAUUCUAUUCGUUCCCCUAUAGAAAAUUCUGGUGUCUACAAAAUUGUCUGCGAUACUUGCUCCUCUUACUAUACAGGACAAACUGGAUGUGCCUUCACUACCAGAUAUAAAGAACAUUUGCUAAGAAAAAAUGGCACUACCCUCCAAAAUUUGUCUUUUGCUGACCAUCUGUGAUAGCAACAUUUUGCACACCAAAAAGAAAGGGCACAGACUAGAUAUUCCAGAAGAAUUAGAGAUUUUCAAACAUCUUGCUCGAAAGGAUAGCCUCAUCCUUAACGAACAGCUACAGCUACGUAACAAAAAUUUUUUGAACAGUAUAAAGCCAUUAUUCGAUAUGUGACUUCGGGUCUCCUUGUGCAGGUUGCUGAAAUGUUCUUUUCCUUCUAAGGUUGUCCCGUUUUCUAAUUGAAGGGGUUGGAGAGAUAUAGUCAUAAGCCACACUUUUGUCGAAAUUGAGAUAUUCACACUAUGACCCUCUUAACAAUGCCCUCCUCAUCUUUAAUUGAAAAAGUUGUCUUUUCCAACAGGUGGCAGUUGAUGACAGCGCAAUUAUUUACUCGUGUCUUUUUCAGAAGCUACAGUCACAAGCCACAUCAAAAUGCCUGAAUGCUCACGUACACCUGAAGGUGCUUCGCACGUUCUAAGCGUACGUGGCAGUGACAGUAGUGUAAAUGAGGAUUGUGAUCCUUCUGGCAGUGAUGGUAAGGAGUCUGUGUCCAUAAAGCAACAGUACCAGCUCAGAAGAUGGUUCGCUUGAAAUAAAUAGAGCAAAUCAAGUAUCACACCAGAAACGAAGCUCUUCAAGAAAAAGAAAGAGCAAUAUUGAUCAGUGAAAAAUAAAUAAAUAAAUAAAAAUAAAUUAUUAAAGCCAAAUGUCGACGUAUCGCGAGUCAAUAGUAUGUGUCUUCUAAAACCAACAACACUGUCCAGGCAGGAUCUUUGGGAAGUCUCUGUAGUUGUUCAAAUAAGAGCUACAUGAAACUACUUGUAGAAGAAGAGAAUAUUUUCCACUCGUUUUGGGACACAGGAAACUUCAAUUACCCUAAUACUUAUGUAAUGUGUUGUAUGGAAAUGGUACCAAAAAAGCGAAGCUAUCCAAAAAGACUAAAAAGCAAAGAUCAUCUAGAGCCGCGAAAUUUUCAUACAAUGUGAAAGUAAAUGGAAUGGAAGUCACUAUUUGCAAGCAAGCCUCCCUCAGGGUUCAUGGCUUACAGAACCACACAAGAAGAGUGGGAUUUUGCAACAGCAAAUGAAGUUGGUUCGCGCAGUUUCAAAAGAAGAAGGAAGAGGUGUGAACAUGUCAAUUAUCCACAUAAAUUUCAAGACGAAGCUGUGCAAGGUAUCAGAGACUUUCUCAAUGCUAUACCAAAAUAUAACAGUCACUAUACCAGGCAGCAGAGCCCCAACAAAGUAAAUUUUGGAUGUGACCUCACAAUUGCAUCCUUAUUUUGAGACAUACUCUGAAUACUGAGAGGAAAACGGUGUCCCUACUGUAUCACAAAGCAAAUGCAGGGCAGUUUUUGUGUCCGAAUUUAACAUAGGCUUCAAACUGCUGAAAAGCGGCACCUGUUCAACUUGUAGUGCCUUUCUGACAGCAACGAGUAACGCAGAAUUAUGUGCAGAAAGAAUUAUACAAGGGAGCAAACAACACGAGUCGCAUCUAAGAAAGGCUGAUAGCAGGCAAAAUAUGAUCAUUUCUUUAAUUUCUAUGGCUAAAGAGAACGCGAAAGAGUACCACGUAAUGGAAAUGGACAUGCAACAAACGUUUCCUCCGCCAAAACUAACAGUUGGCCCAGCGUUCUAGAAGAGAAAAAUAUGGACGUAGAAGUACGGAAUCCACACUUGUAUCCACAGUUGUGUGUCAAAUAAGGGAUACAUGUUUCUGUGAAGUGAGAAGGGCAGAGGAAGGAGUUCAGAUGAAGCUGGGAGUUGUUAAAUACUUGAAGCUAACUAACACUCAAGACAAACAUCUCCACAUAAUCAGAGAUAGCUGUAAGGGCCAGGCAAAGAAUUGGUCUCUAACUGCCCUGUGGAGGACUCUCGUUGCCACCAAAAGAUUUGAAUCUGUGCAGCAUUAUUUCACCAUCGCAGGUCAUACUGGACUUCCUCGCGAUUGUGAUAUUGGUCGCAUUGAAAUUUAUGUGCUACACAGACAUCUAAUAGUAUUCACACCAGAUGAAUGGGCGGAAGCAGUUCAGUCUGUUAGUCCAAAGAAUUUCAUUGUGACAGAAAUGCACAGACAAGACUUCAGAAGCUUGGGCAAUCUAAAGUCAUUAAUCUCGAUACCCAGUCUAUUCAGAUCUGGAGAUCCCAUUCGUUUUAGUGAAGAGACUCAAUUUAAAUUUGAGUAUAAAGAUCCCUUCACACUAAAUGUGAAGCACUGGUACUCAGAUAUAGGAACCUUCACGUCAGUGGAUCUACGUAGCAAGAGAAAAGGAAGACGUGCUUAACCAGACCUGUUCUAGCUGCCGGUAAAAUAAAGAAAGUUGCU
Schistocerca gregaria is the source of this 4556-nucleotide long non-coding RNA. RefSeq lists it as uncharacterized. The transcript is spliced from 4 exons. The record is from RefSeq and is a predicted model, not a curated record. NCBI's taxonomy places the organism in Eukaryota, Metazoa, Arthropoda, Insecta, Orthoptera, Acrididae.